Molecule: non-coding RNA, 46 nt
Filed under: Alexandrium minutum
Lineage: Eukaryota; Dinophyceae; Gonyaulacales; Pyrocystaceae
Source: RNAcentral
UUUUUUUUUUUUUUUUUUUUUUUUUUUUUUUUUUUUUUUUUUUUUC